AAUUAGCAUGUUAAUAUAUAUUUCCAGUACUAUUUGGUUUAUCAUUGAUUCUGAAGAUUCUCAUAUGUAGCAACUGCUCAAAAAAUUCUAUUAAUUGUUCUCAUGUAUUCCUGAGCACAGUGAAGUCUUUUUGGAUUUUGAUCCAAGUUCUGUCUCAAAACUGAAUGAGAAAAAGAUAGUUGCACCAGGAAGCACUGCCAGCUCAUUGCUGUCCGAGCUCAGGUUGCGAUCGAUAAUUGAAAAUGCACGCCAGAUUAGUAAGAUAAUAGAAGAGUUUGGUUCCUUUGACACAUUUAUUUGGAACUUUGUGAACCACAAGCCAAUAGUCAGCCAGUUCAGGUAUCCGCGCCAAGUACCAGUCAAAUCUCCAAAAGCCGAAGCCAUAAGUAAAGAACUUGUAAGGAGAGGGUUCCGGAGUGUGGGUCCGACGGUCAUUUAUACAUUCAUGCAAGUAGCUGGACUAACAAAUGACCACCUAAUCAGUUGCUUCAGAUUCAAGGAGUGUGUCUUAAACUUGGAACCAGUCUGCAAAGAAAGCUCCUUCAACUCCAAGGUCAAGGAAAAAGCAAACGACGAAUCAACGGAGACAGGUCUAUUGCUAGCCGUGAACAAGUUGAGCUUCACCUGAAAUUAGAGUUCUAGAACUUUGAUCAAUGAUCAUAUUGUCAAAUGAGGUAGUUGUCAGGGAACAGGGUAGGUUGUGGAGUGUACAAAAUCCAUAGAGAUAUGAAGUUAGCCGAAAUGCAGAUGUAUUUGAAAAAUGCAAAAUGACCUUUGGCAAUUUCUUCAAGUUCUCUUGUAUUAAAGAUUCUUGAAAUAGUCAUAUUUUGCUCUUAGCC
Arachis duranensis is the source of this 839-nucleotide RNA transcript. RefSeq lists it as uncharacterized. The transcript is spliced from 2 exons. NCBI's taxonomy places the organism in Eukaryota, Viridiplantae, Streptophyta, Magnoliopsida, Fabales, Fabaceae. The record is from RefSeq and is a predicted model, not a curated record.